This 483-nucleotide ribosomal RNA is filed under the name uncultured bacterium. RNAcentral's name for it is "partial 16S ribosomal RNA". It matches the Rfam family "Bacterial small subunit ribosomal RNA", at positions 28 to 507 of the family's 1533-position model. The record is from RNAcentral.
AUUGAACGCUGGCGGCAUGCUUUACACAUGCAAGUCGAACGGCAGCGCGGGCUUCGGCCUGGCGGCGAGUGGCGAACGGGUGAGUAAUGCAUCGGAACGUGCCCAGUAGUGGGGGAUAGCCCGGCGAAAGCCGGAUUAAUACCGCAUACGACCUGAGGGUGAAAGCGGGGGACCGAAAGGCCUCGCGCUAUUGGAGCGGCCGAUGUCGGUUCGCUAGUUGGGUGGGUAAAGGCUUACCCAGGCGACGAUCCGUAGCUGGUCUGGGAGGACGACCAGCCACACUGGGACUGAGACACGGCCCAGACUCCUACGGGAGGCAGCAGUGGGGAAUUUUGGACAAUGGGGGCAACCCUGAUCCAGCCAUGCCGCGUGCGGGAAGAAGGCCUUCGGGUUGUAAACCGCUUUUGUUCGGGAAGAAAUCCUCUGGGCUAAUACCCCGGGGGGAUGACGGUACCGGAAGAAUAAGCACCGGCUAACUACGUG